UACGUAGGGUGCGAGCGUUAAUCGGAAUUACUGGGCGUAAAGCGUGCGCAGGCGGUUUUGUAAGCCAGGUGUGAAAUCCCCGGGCUCAACCUGGGAAUGGCAUUUGGGACUGCAAGGCUCGAGUUUGGCAGAGGAGACUGGAAUUCCUGGUGUAGCAGUGAAAUGCGUAGAUAUCAGGAGGAAUACCGAUGGCGAAGGCAGGUCUCUGGGCUGAAACUGACGCUCAUGCACGAAAGCGUGGGGAGCAAACAGG
RNAcentral lists this ribosomal RNA (253 nucleotides) under uncultured bacterium. Its description in RNAcentral is "partial 16S ribosomal RNA". It matches the Rfam family "Bacterial small subunit ribosomal RNA", at positions 524 to 776 of the family's 1533-position model. The record is from RNAcentral.